This 25-nucleotide small RNA is filed under the name Arabidopsis thaliana (thale cress). RNAcentral describes it as "ATSL235720". The record is from RNAcentral. Lineage: Eukaryota; Viridiplantae; Streptophyta; Magnoliopsida; Brassicales; Brassicaceae.
UUGGUGAUUUUUUUUUCAUUUUUUU